GACGAACGCUGGCGGCGUGCUUAACACAUGCAAGUCGAACGGAAAGGCCCUGCUUUUGUGGGGUGCUCGAGUGGCGAACGGGUGAGUAACACGUGAGUAACCUGCCCUUGACUUUGGGAUAACUUCAGGAAACUGGGGCUAAUACCGGAUAGGAGCUCCUGCUGCAUGGUGGGGGUUGGAACGUUUCGGCGGUUGGGGAUGGACUCGCGGCUUAUCAGCUUGUUGGUGGGGUAGUGGCUUACCAAGGCUUUGACGGGUAGCCGGCCUGAGAGGGUGACCGGCCACAUUGGGACUGAGAUACGGCCCAGACUCCUACUGUAGGCAGCAGUGGGGAAUAUUGCACAAUGGUCGGAAGCCUGAUGCAGCAACGCCGCGUGCGGGAUGACGGCCUUCGGGUUGUAAACCGCUUUCGCCUGUGACGAAGCGUGAGUGACGGUAAUGGGUAAAGAAGCACCGGCUAACUACGUG
RNAcentral lists this ribosomal RNA (468 nucleotides) under uncultured bacterium. Its description in RNAcentral is "partial 16S ribosomal RNA". It matches the Rfam family "Bacterial small subunit ribosomal RNA", at positions 28 to 507 of the family's 1533-position model. The record is from RNAcentral.